Panicum virgatum (switchgrass) is the source of this 831-nucleotide long non-coding RNA. RefSeq lists it as uncharacterized. NCBI's taxonomy places the organism in Eukaryota, Viridiplantae, Streptophyta, Magnoliopsida, Poales, Poaceae. The record is from RefSeq and is a predicted model, not a curated record. The transcript has 2 exons.
CCUGCCCGCCCGCCCGCACGCCCCACGGCUUAUCCACCAUGCAUCUCCACCUCCAUCACCGCGCCAGAUUGAUACGGAUCGCACCACCGUUGCCGCCGUCAUCCACACCCGCACCCGCAUGAUCCUACUCCUACCAUGCUGGGGCGCAACGCCCUUGCCCGACCACGUCGGCCUACCGAACCGCACCUCCCGCUCCUGCUGCAGGUGCUUUGCUGGGAGCCGCCUCCCGUACCUGCUUUGCACAUUUCUGGUUCUCAGGAAUCUCGAACACUUCGCCUACGCCUCGCUCAAUGAUGCCAUGCUCGCCGUGGCCAUCGCCGGCACAAGAGGGGGCCUCGCGGGGCACCGCCAAAUCCGCCGCCUCCGGUGCCUUCACCGGCGAUGAGCUCGCCCGUCGCCGUCCAUGGAACAUCCUCGUUGCCGAGUCUUGCAGUGUCCUCAUCCCCCACAAACCCCACUAGUGCGCCUCAUAGCGUCCACGUGCAGCCAUGCGUGCGCCCCAGACGUUCCGCCGCCCCUCGCUGCCGGCGAGGCCACGGCCGCCCUUGCAUGCCGCGCCGUGCGUGGAUUGGCCACACCCCACCUUGCAAGUGUAGGGUGCCGAGUUAAGAUGUUGCAAAGAUUCUUUUUGGAUGUUGCGAGAGAUGAAUUAUGCUUUUGCAAUGGGUGAUUGUUUUUUUUUUAUGUUUUCAAUUUGUGAUUUUUAUAUUGCAACAUAUAAUUUUGGAUGUCCCAAAAGGUAAGUGUCAAUAUUGCAAACAUUAUUUUUGUAUGUUACCAUUCUGAGUGGAUGUUGCAUGAGAUACAUGCUGCGGUAGGGAUUUCAUAUCA